This 253-nucleotide ribosomal RNA is filed under the name uncultured bacterium. RNAcentral describes it as "partial 16S ribosomal RNA". It matches the Rfam family "Bacterial small subunit ribosomal RNA", at positions 524 to 776 of the family's 1533-position model. The record is from RNAcentral.
UACAGAGGGUGCAAGCGUUGUUCGGAAUUAUUGGGCGUAAAGCGCGUGUAGGCGGCCCGGUAAGUCCGCUGUGAAAGUCGGGGGCUCAACCCUCGGAUGCCGGUGGAUACUGGCGGGCUAGAGUGCGGUAGAGGAGAGUGGAAUUCCCGGUGUAGCAGUGAAAUGCGUAGAGAUCGGGAGGAACAUCAGUUGCGAAGGCGGCUCUCUGGACCAGCACUGACACUGAGGCACGAAAGCGUGGGGAGCAAACAGG